RNAcentral lists this ribosomal RNA (465 nucleotides) under uncultured bacterium. Its description in RNAcentral is "bacterial SSU rRNA". It matches the Rfam family "Bacterial small subunit ribosomal RNA", at positions 338 to 795 of the family's 1533-position model. The record is from RNAcentral.
CCUACGGGUUGCACCAGUGGGGAAUAUUGGACAAUGGGCGAAAGCCUGAUCCAGCCAUGCCGCGUGUGUGAAGAAGGUCUUCGGAUUGUAAAGCACUUUAAGUUGGGAGGAAGGGCAUUAACCUAACACGUUAGUGUUUUGACGUUACCGACAGAAUAAGCACCGGCUAACUUCGUGCCAGCAGCCGCGGUAAUACGAAGGGUGCAAGCGUUAAUCGGAAUUACUGGGCGUAAAGCGCGCGUAGGUGGUUUGUUAAGUUGAAUGUGAAAGCCCCGGGCUCAACCUGGGAACUGCAUCCAAAACUGGCAAGCUAGAGUAUGGCAGAGGGUGGUGGAAUUUCCUGUGUAGCGGUGAAAUGCGUAGAUAUAGGAAGGAACACCAGUGGCGAAGGCGACCACCUGGGCUAAUACUGACACUGAGGUGCGAAAGCGUGGGGAGCAAACGGGAUUAGAUACCCCCGUAGUC